AUUGAACGCUGGCGGCAGGCUUAACACAUGCAAGUCGAGCGGAAACGAUGGGAGCUUGCUCCCAGGCGUCGAGCGGCGGACGGGUGAGUAACACUUAGGAAUCUACCUAGUAGUGGGGGAUAGCUCGGGGAAACUCGAAUUAAUACCGCAUACGACCUACGGGAGAAAGGGGGCAACUUGUUGCUCUCGCUAUUAGAUGAGCCUAAGUCGGAUUAGCUAGAUGGUGGGGUAAAGGCCUACCAUGGCGACGAUCUGUAGCUGGUCUGAGAGGAUGAUCAGCCACACCGGGACUGAGACACGGCCCGGACUCCUACGGGAGGCAGCAGUGGGGAAUAUUGGACAAUGGGGGCAACCCUGAUCCAGCCAUGCCGCGUGUGUGAAGAAGGCCUUUUGGUUGUAAAGCACUUUAAGCAGUGAAGAAGACCAUACGGUUAAUACCCGUAUGCGAUGACAUUAGCUGCAGAAUAAGCACCGGCUAACUCUGUGCCAGCAGCCGCGGUAAUACAGAGGGUGCAAGCGUUAAUCGGAAUUACUGGGCGUAAAGCGAGCGUAGGUGGCUUGAUAAGUCAGAUGUGAAAUCCCCGGGCUUAACCUGGGAACUGCAUCUGAUACUGUUAAGCUAGAGUAGGUGAGAGGGAAGUAGAAUUCCAGGUGUAGCGGUGAAAUGCGUAGAGAUCUGGAGGAAUACCGAUGGCGAAGGCAGCUUCCUGGCAUCAUACUGACACUGAGGCUCGAAAGCGUGGGUAGCAAACAGG
RNAcentral lists this ribosomal RNA (755 nucleotides) under uncultured bacterium. RNAcentral describes it as "bacterial SSU rRNA". It matches the Rfam family "Bacterial small subunit ribosomal RNA", at positions 28 to 776 of the family's 1533-position model. The record is from RNAcentral.